This 75-nucleotide transfer RNA is filed under the name Bernardetia litoralis DSM 6794. RNAcentral describes it as "tRNA-Gln". It matches the Rfam family "tRNA". Rfam says of the family: Transfer RNA (tRNA) molecules are approximately 80 nucleotides in length. Their secondary structure includes four short double-helical elements and three loops (D, anti-codon, and T loops). Lineage: Bacteria; Pseudomonadati; Bacteroidota; Cytophagia; Cytophagales; Bernardetiaceae. The record is from RNAcentral.
UGCCCUGUAGUUUAAUUGGCAGAACACCGGUUUUUGGUACCGAUAGUUGAGGUUCGAGUCCUUGCGGGGCAACUA